This 152-nucleotide ribosomal RNA is filed under the name uncultured bacterium. RNAcentral's name for it is "partial 16S ribosomal RNA". The record is from RNAcentral.
ACGCAGCUGAUGCAGCACGCGCGUGAGUGAUGACGGCCUUCGGGUUGUAAAGCUCUUUCACCCGGCCGGGAAUGACGGUACCCGUAGAAGAAGCCCCGGACCGCUCCUAGAAAGCACCCCCGGCUCUAUGAUAGCCCCCCCGCCGCUAUAUA